CAUCACCGUUUUUGGCUAAAUAAGCUCCAAUUUCUCUGCUUCUCUUUCCGUCUCUCGCUCUUACGCCUCUCCUCCUACGAUCUCUCUCGCACCGUCGUACCUCUGUCGAUCCACCAUUGGAACAUUAUCCCAGGGUCAGAAAGACCUCUUUGAUGAAUCAAUAUGUGAAUAAGAAGUUUAGCAAUCAAUACAAGGAAACAAUCAGAGCUGAUUUCUUGACUAAAGAAAUGCAGUUUGAAGAUAGGCUCUUUACUUUAUAGUUACUUGGUUGGAUGCAUCGCAAGUUAAGGACUAGUGAAGCACUCAAGGAUUUUGCCAUUGGGAGAAGCCAUCACUGGAUGAGCAGCAGUACGACAUGAAGGCAAACUAUGGUACUAAGACCUUAGGCAAAUCACAGAGAUACAACCAUCUUCGAAAAUCAUUUGCCAUAGAAGAAGAUGACUUUGAAGAAGAGUCAUCAGCUGCGAUUUCUCAGCUCUUCCAUGGCUUCCUUACCAUUGGUACUCUUGGUUCAGAUACAGUCAUCGCUGAC
This is a non-coding RNA of Camellia sinensis, 532 nucleotides long. The record is from RefSeq and is a predicted model, not a curated record. NCBI's taxonomy places the organism in Eukaryota, Viridiplantae, Streptophyta, Magnoliopsida, Ericales, Theaceae.